RNAcentral lists this ribosomal RNA (580 nucleotides) under uncultured Bacteroidota bacterium. RNAcentral describes it as "bacterial SSU rRNA". It matches the Rfam family "Bacterial small subunit ribosomal RNA", at positions 338 to 918 of the family's 1533-position model. Lineage: Bacteria; Pseudomonadati; Bacteroidota. The record is from RNAcentral.
CCUACGGGAGGCAGCAGUAAGGAAUAUUGGUCAAUGGACGCAAGUCUGAACCAGCCAUGCCGCGUGAAGGAUGAAGGUCCUCUGGAUUGUAAACUUCUUUUAUAGGGGGCGAAAAAAGGUCUUUCUAGWUCACUUGACAGUACCCUAUGAAUAAGCACCGGCUAACUCCGUGCCAGCAGCCGCGGUAAUACGGAGGGUGCAAGCGUUAUCCGGAUUCACUGGGUUUAAAGGGUGCGUAGGCGGGUAGGUAAGUCAGAGGUGAAAUCCUGGAGCUUAACUCCAGAACUGCCUUUGAUACUAUCUAUCUUGAAUAUGGUGGAGGUAAGCGGAAUAUGUCAUGUAGCGGUGAAAUGCAUAGAUAUGACAUAGAACACCUAUUGCGAAGGCAGCUUACUACGCCUAUAUUGACGCUGAGGCACGAAAGCGUGGGGAUCAAACAGGAUUAGAUACCCUGGUAGUCCACGCCCUAAACGAUGAUUACUCGACGUAUGCGAUACACAGUAUGCGUCUGAGCGAAAGCAUUAAGUAAUCCACCUGGGAAGUACGACCGCAAGGUUGAAACUCAAAUGAAUUGACGGGG